GAUGAACGCUAGCGGCAGGCCUAAUACAUGCAAGUCGAACGGGAUCCAGAUCACAGCUUGCUUUGGUCUGGUGAGAGUGGCGCACGGGUGCGUAACGCGUGAGCAACCUACCCUUGUCAGGGGGAUAGCCCGGCGAAAGUCGGAGUAAUACCGCAUGACAUCAUUGAGAGGCAUCUUUCGAUGAUCAAAGAUUUAUCGGACAAAGAUGGGCUCGCGUGACAUUAGCUCGUUGGUAAGGUAACGGCUUACCAAGGCGGCGAUGUCUAGGGGCUCUGAGAGGGGAAUCCCUGACACGGGAACUUAGACACCGACCAGACUCCUACGGGACGCAGCAGUAAGGAAUAGGGGGCAAUGGACGGAAGUCUGAACCAGCCAUGCCGCGUGCAGGAGGACGGCCCUAUGGGUUGUAAACUGCUUUUAUACGGGAACAACCGUCGGUACGUGUACCGGUCUGAGUGUACCGGAAGAAUAAGGAUCGGCUAACUCCGUG
RNAcentral lists this ribosomal RNA (490 nucleotides) under uncultured bacterium. RNAcentral describes it as "partial 16S ribosomal RNA". It matches the Rfam family "Bacterial small subunit ribosomal RNA", at positions 28 to 507 of the family's 1533-position model. The record is from RNAcentral.